AACGAACGCUGGCGGCAUGCCUAACACAUGCAAGUCGAACGAGCCCUUCGGGUCUCGUGGCGCACGGGUGCGUCACGCGUGGGCAUCUCCCCUCAGGUUCGGAAUAACUCAGCGAAAUUUGAGCUAAUCCCGGACGAUGACGUAAGGCCAAACAUUCAUCGCCUGAGGAUGAGCCCGCGUAGGAUUAGGUAGUUGGGGAGCUAAAGGCUCACCCACCCGACGAUCCUUAGCUGGUCUGAGAGGAUGAUCAGCCACACUGGGACUGAGACACGGCCCAGACUCCUACGGGAGGCAGCAGGAGGGAAUAUUAGACAAUGGGCGAAAGCCUGAUCCAGCAAUGCCGCGUGAGUGAUGAAGGCCUUAGGGUUGUAAAGCUCUUUUACCCGGGAUGAUAAUGACAGUACCGGGAGAAUAAGCUCCGGCUAACUCCGUG
Molecule: ribosomal RNA, 433 nt
Filed under: uncultured bacterium
Lineage: Bacteria
Description: partial 16S ribosomal RNA
Rfam family: Bacterial small subunit ribosomal RNA
Source: RNAcentral